GACGAACGCUGGCGGCAUGCCUAAUACAUGCAAGUCGAGCGGAGUUGACGAGAAGCUUGCUUCUCUGAUGCUUAGCGGCGGACGGGUGAGUAACACGUAGGCAACCUGCCUUUCAGCCCUGGGAUAACUUCCGGAAACGGAUGCUAAUACCGGAUACAUCAUCUUCCGGCAUCGGAGGAUGAGGAAAGACGGCGCAAGCUGUCACUGAGAGAUGGGCCUGCGGCGCAUUAGCUAGUUGGUGGGGUAAUGGCCCACCAAGGCGACGAUGCGUAGCCGGCCUGAGAGGGUGAACGGCCACACUGGGACUGAGACACGGCCCAGACUCCUACGGGAGGCAGCAGUAGGGAAUCUUCCACAAUGGGCGAAAGCCUGAUGGAGCAAUGCCGCGUGAGUGAUGAAGGUUUUCGGAUCGUAAAGCUCUGUUGCCAGGGAAGAACGUCCAGUAGAGUAACUGCUACUGGAGUGACGGUACCUGAGAAGAAAGCCCCGGCUAACUACGUGCCAGCCGCCGCGGUAA
RNAcentral lists this ribosomal RNA (517 nucleotides) under uncultured bacterium. RNAcentral's name for it is "partial 16S ribosomal RNA". It matches the Rfam family "Bacterial small subunit ribosomal RNA", at positions 28 to 523 of the family's 1533-position model. The record is from RNAcentral.